This is a long non-coding RNA of Helianthus annuus (common sunflower), 357 nucleotides long. RefSeq lists it as uncharacterized. The transcript is spliced from 2 exons. The record is from RefSeq and is a predicted model, not a curated record. NCBI's taxonomy places the organism in Eukaryota, Viridiplantae, Streptophyta, Magnoliopsida, Asterales, Asteraceae.
UAUGUUUACAAAUUAAACCCAACAUAAAAGAAGAAGAAGAUGAAAACUGUUAAGUUUCUUUUCUGAUUUUGAAGUUGUAAAUGUUGUGUGUGCAACCUUGUUGUUUGAAUUAUAGAUUGUGUUGGGAAGCUAAUUAAAUAUGUUUCAAGAAUUUCUUUCAUGUUUAUGUGAUUUGGGAACUUCAAAAACUGGACAAAAAGGUGGGUUAGUUUCACUUUUCUACAAGUAUGUUGAAGUUGGUGAGCCAGAAAUGCAUUUCCGAGUUUGUUAAAAAUACAUUUGGCAUAUCAUGUUAUUCACCAAUAAUGAUUUGGUUUAGCGUGACCGUGUUAUGAGUUGUAGAAUAAUUUGGCGUUU